This 607-nucleotide long non-coding RNA is filed under the name Elaeis guineensis (African oil palm). Its description in RNAcentral is "long non-coding RNA (EGUI_LNC022117)". Lineage: Eukaryota; Viridiplantae; Streptophyta; Magnoliopsida; Arecales; Arecaceae. The record is from RNAcentral.
UUGGUGACAAAUUAUUACCCCACCUAUCCUCCUCUCCCCCCCCCAUCCCUCCUCUCUAGUGGGGUGGUUGUGACCGUACACUGAGUCAAACUUCUGCUACUGCUAACCUGGCCCACCUGGCCCUCUCAAUCAUAAUGGAAUGGGAGUGAAUGCUGGCCUCCAUGUCCAGAGAAGAUAGAGGUAUUGUGCACUGCUCGCUGUCCUCCCUCUGUCUCUCUCUAGAUCCGGAGGUGGUAGUGGUGUCGUUGUCAAUGGGUCCAUCCCCACUUUUGUUCGAUUAUAUGUCACACAGCCAUGGGAAGGAGGGGCUGGUGGAGCAAAAAACCCCACCACAGAUUGGGAUGUUUUGGCUAAGUUAGACCCACCAUGCAUAUGCUAUCACCACGCUGCAGUACUUGACAACAUACGAACCUCUUGCAUCACUGUUCACCAUGUCACCUUUCUUCACUGGUUGUGUCCCACUUACUGUUCAAUGACCGCGCGCAUCUUCCCUUCAUUACUAGUGAACAAAAUUUUGUUUAACUUAUGUGCUCUCUUUGUUAUCAUUAACCUUCUAGAAUAGUAGUUUGCGUAUCAUACAGUAAAUUUUUUUUUUUGUAUCAAGGCC